Molecule: long non-coding RNA, 158 nt
Organism: Brassica oleracea var. oleracea
Lineage: Eukaryota; Viridiplantae; Streptophyta; Magnoliopsida; Brassicales; Brassicaceae
Exons: 3
Source: RefSeq, a predicted model, not a curated record
UUCGUCUCUUGAAGAAAAUGGCUGAAGCUUAUAGCUUAGUUCCUGAGUUUGAGAUAACAUUGGAAGGUACUCAUCAUGGACCAAUAACUAGUAAGCCGACCAUGUUUUUGGAGAAUGGUAGUACAGAGGAAUACUGGAAGAGACAAGACGCAGCUCAA